Long non-coding RNA from Scatophagus argus, 1100 nucleotides. RefSeq lists it as uncharacterized. The record is from RefSeq and is a predicted model, not a curated record. Lineage: Eukaryota; Metazoa; Chordata; Actinopteri; Scatophagidae. The transcript has 3 exons.
UGUAACAGGCUGCACACGUAUCGACGCAUGCGCACUGUUCUUAGCUUAGGUCUGCUGCUCUCUGAAGCUGCAAACAGGCCAGCGCCAAGACAGAAGAAAUGCUGUUCAUCAGCAGGUGAAGCUGUCUGUAUUUCAAGUGAUUCCAUACACUUUGAGUUGUACCCAUGUGGGCAGAAAUGAAGGAAUAUUGUCCAGAGCUGAGCGGGGUUUACUGAUAGGAUUUCCCACCAGUUUUGCUGCACAGCUGUUCCUCAUUCUCCUCAUCAUCCCCACCCUCUUCCAGACUGCUUAAAGACUGGUUCAUUCAUCCACUCCUACCUGGUCCAGUCUCACCUCUUCUGCACUUCUUGAGCCAUGCUUACCUCCAACACUGUCAGACUGGGUUCAGUCACCAACCAGCUCUUCUGCCAGCCCACUACUGGCUCUGUGUUCCUGGAAACUCCCUGAACUCUCUAACCUCCAUUCAGUCCUGAAUUCACCAGUUCAACUAGUUAACAACUCUGCAUUCUGUAUGGACAACUGUGCCUCUUCAGCCAGAGACUCUGUUGCAAAUAAACACCUGUCGAAUUUUUACUUCUGAGUGUGUGUGCAUUCUGCCCCGGGGUCCUAAAUCAAUGUGUUUAAACAUAAGAAUAAACCUGUGUGGGUUUGAUCAAAUUUGGCUGUACCAUAUGAGUUUGUACAGCUGAGGUAUUUGACAUGUCGCUUUACUUUAACUGGACUAAAUUCACAGAUUUUUACUUGUUUGUUCGAAUCUUGCUUUAAUCUCUGUGUUGUCACAUUAUUAUCUCUUCCUGUAUUAAGGAAGGCGACAGUCCACUCGUUCUUUUCAUCAGCUGCACCUGGAGGAAAAAAAAAGUGUCACAUCUCAAAUCUUCAGAGGUCACCUGAAGGACAAAUCAUAGUGUCGACUGUCACUCUGCUGUUUGUGGGUGUGUGUUGUGUAAGUUGCUUUGUAUAGGCUACCUGUCUUUGCGUUUGCUUGUGAGUGUGUCCAUGGUUUCAAGAGGAUUACUAGUUCAUCAUGACACCUUCACAUGUUUCCCAGGUGUGAAGCACCUUUCAGUUUUUUAUGUGAAAUGUAAAACAUGCAGACAAAU